ACACUUGGACGAGGUCAAUAGGUGAUCAAGAUGACUCAUGGUCUAGAUUAGUGACUUUUAUUGCAUUUUGGAGGGGUACUCGUCUAUGAUUAGCUCAAGCGAUUGAGUCUAUACGUCAUAAUUUGGGCAGAGAAGACUUGUAUAGACAUUCUUAUU
Molecule: small nuclear RNA, 156 nt
Organism: Solanum stenotomum
Lineage: Eukaryota; Viridiplantae; Streptophyta; Magnoliopsida; Solanales; Solanaceae
Product: U1 spliceosomal RNA
Exons: 1
Source: RefSeq, a predicted model, not a curated record